AAUAAAAUCAUAACAUUUGUAAAUUCCAACAAUCGAAUGAAAAUGUAGUCUUUAGGCAUAUUUUGCUGCCUGAAAUCCAGUCAUGAUGUAUCUUGCCUGUAUGAACAUCAAUUGUUUUUCUGACCUUCCUCAACACUCUUGCUCAUAAGUGAUAUUACAUGGGCUGGCUCAGGGGCUCCAAACACUGAACUUCCUGCCACAAUGCAGUUUGCACCAGCUGAAGCUGC
This 227-nucleotide unclassified non-coding RNA is filed under the name Hevea brasiliensis (rubber tree). The record is from RNAcentral. Lineage: Eukaryota; Viridiplantae; Streptophyta; Magnoliopsida; Malpighiales; Euphorbiaceae.